ACGUGUUACAAUGGGUGAUACAGAGGGCCGGCCGCUGGCAACAUCGGUCCAAUCCUUAAAGUCAUCCUCAGUUCGGACUGGGGUCUGCAACCCGACCCCACGAAGCUGGAUUCGCUAGUAAUCGCGCAUCAGCCAUGGCGCGGUGAAUACGUUCCCGGGCCUUGUACACACCGCCCGUCAAGCCAUGAAAGCCGGGGGGCGCCUGAAGUCCGUGACCGCGAGGGUCGGCCUAGGGUGAAACCGGUGAUUGGGGCUAAGUCGUAACAAGGUACC
Molecule: ribosomal RNA, 273 nt
Filed under: uncultured bacterium
Lineage: Bacteria
Description: partial 16S ribosomal RNA
Rfam family: Bacterial small subunit ribosomal RNA
Source: RNAcentral